AAAUAAUCCAAUUAAAUAUGGGAAAAAACCCCACAUCUGAACAGGUGCUGCAAUAAAGAAGAUAUACAGAGGCCAAGUAAACACAUGCAAAGAUUCUUGACAUCAUAUCGUCACUGACUAGUUGCCCCAAGGAACUCAAGGAGGAGGAACUUGAACCCCAGAGACGUGGAUCGGCCCAAGGUCACACCACUGGUAGCAGAUGAGAAAGGACUCCGAAAAGCAGCAACAGGGCCAGAGGCAGCCUUGGAGGUAGCAGAGCGCACGGAGGACAGCACUGCAAAAAGGUUAAGAGCCAGCACCGAGGCCUCAGUUUACUUUCUGACUCCAUCCCUACCAGGUGACAG
This 344-nucleotide long non-coding RNA is filed under the name Equus caballus (horse). RNAcentral describes it as "lncRNA (ENSECAG00000054468.1)". Lineage: Eukaryota; Metazoa; Chordata; Mammalia; Perissodactyla; Equidae. The record is from RNAcentral.